AUUGAACGCUGGCGGCAGGCCUAACACAUGCAAGUCGAGCGGAUGAAGGGGGCUUUCUCCUGGUUUCAGCUGCGGACGGGCGAGUAAUUCCUAGGAAUCUGCCUUGUCUAUGGGGCUAACGUCCCUUCACGGGCGCUAAUACCGCAUCCGACCUGAUUUCGAAAGUGGUGGAUCUUUGGACCUCACUCUAUCAGAUGAGCCUAGGUCGGAUUCGCUAGUUGGUUGGGUAAAGUCCUACCAAGGCGACUAUCCGUAACUGGUCUGAGGGGAUGACCAGGCACACUGGAACUUAGACACGGUCCCGACUCCUACGGGAGGGAACAGUGAGGAAUAUUGGAGAAUGGGCGGAAACCUGAUCCAGGCAAGGCGGGUGUAGUAAGAAAGUUUUCCGAUUGUAAAGCAUCUUUAGUUGGGAGGAAGGACAGUAAGUUAAUACCUUGCUGUUUUGACGUUAACAACAGAAGAAACCCCGGCUAACUUAGUG
This 484-nucleotide ribosomal RNA is filed under the name uncultured bacterium. RNAcentral describes it as "partial 16S ribosomal RNA". It matches the Rfam family "Bacterial small subunit ribosomal RNA", at positions 30 to 507 of the family's 1533-position model. The record is from RNAcentral.